CCUAGUAAGCACAAGUCAUUAGCUUGUGCUGAUUACGUCCCUGCCCUUUGUACACACCGCCCGUCGCUACUACCGAUUGAAUGGCUUAGUGAGGCCUUCGGAUUGAGUUUCGGAAACUGGCAACAGAUUCUGAUUCUUAAAAAGUUGGACAAACUUGGUCAUUUAGAGGAAGUAAAAGUCGUAACAAGGUUUCCGUAGGUGAACCUGCGGAAGGAUCAUUAUAAAUAUUAAGCUUGCCUUGGCUUUUAUAAGUCCUGGCUUGCGAAUCCUUUGUAUUUAAAACCCCUACUCUUUUAAUAUGAAUCAUAUUUUUAUGUUAAAAUAAUAUAAAGAUCACUUUCAACAACGGAUCUCUAGGCUCUCGCAUCGAUGAAGAACGUAGCGAAGUGCGAUAAGUAAUGUGAAUUGCAGAAUUCCGUGAAUCAUCGAAUCUUUGAACGCAAAUUGCACUUCCUGGCACUCCGGGAAGUAUGCCUGUUUGAGGGUCAGUAUAAUAAUAAUCGAGAGUGUUGCUUUUUUUUAUUUGGUAUCACUUUCGGAAUUGAGUUAUCUUAACAUUCUUGUUUAAGUGACUUAAAAUUGAAAAUUCAUACGUAUUUUAGGCGUGAUUAGAAUUUUCUAUGCGUCUCGAAUACUGAAAUUUUUAUUAGGCAUGACCAUCGUUAUCAAUAUGGUAAACGUGCCUAUAAUAUUUUUUGAAAAUGACCUCAAAUCAGGUAAGAAUACCCGCUGAACUUAAGCAUAUCAAUAAGCGGAGGAAAAGAAAAUAACAAUGAUUCCUUUAGUAACUGCGAGUGAAGAGGGAAAAGCUCAAAUUUAAAAUCUGUUAGGUUUACCUAACCGAGUUGUAAUUUGAAGAAGCGUUUUCGGUGUUUAUUGGUUGGCCUAAAUCCCUUGGAAUGGGGUAUCAUGGAGGGUGAGAAUCCCGUACGGCUAAUCAUUACGCUUUACGAUACGCUUUCUAAGAGUCAAGUUGUUUGGGAUUGCAGCUUAAAAUGGGAGGUAAAUUUCUCCUAAGGCUAAAUAUUGGCGAGAGACCGAUAGCGAACAAGUACCGUGAGGGAAAGAUGAAAAGUACUUUGAAAAGAGAGUCAAACAGCGCGUGAAAUUGUUGAAAGGGAAACGAUUGAAGUCAGUCGUACCGACGAGAAAUCAGCUAUCUUGAGUGCGAUUUUGUGGGUAGUGAAGAGCUUAACGGCCUCCUUAUUUGCAAAUUUGUAUUCUAAUGGUGUAUUUUUUCGUAUGGUAGGUCAACAUCAAUUUUGAUCGUUAUAAAAUAAUUGGUGGAAUGUAGCUUCGGUCUCGUAUUGAAGUGUUAUAGCCCCUGAUAGAUGUAAUGAUCGAGAUUGAGGAUUGCAACGAAUACCUUUCGAGGCUAUUCGCCUGAUCUCUGGAAGUCACUUUGGUAUCGAAAGCGUGCUUUCGGUAUUGAGGAUGGUGACCAAAAGGUUAGAGCGUGAUUAAAUUCGUUAAGGAUGUUGACGUAAUGACUUUAAACGACCCGUCUUGAAACACGGACCA
This 1521-nucleotide small RNA is filed under the name Glomeraceae sp. 1 RS-2018. RNAcentral describes it as "eukaryotic LSU rRNA". The stretch from base 703 to 1521 matches the Rfam family "Eukaryotic large subunit ribosomal RNA", at positions 1 to 668 of the family's 3401-position model. Lineage: Eukaryota; Fungi; Glomeromycota; Glomeromycetes; Glomerales; Glomeraceae. The record is from RNAcentral.